UGGGGGAUAUUGCACAAUGGGCGAAAGCCUGAUGCAGCGACGCCGCGUGGGGGAUGAAGGCCUUCGGGUUGUAAACUUCUUUUGCUCUGAACAAGGCAUGCUAAUGGGUGUGUUGAGUGUAGGGGUUGAUUAGCGCCGGCUAACUACGUGCCAGCAGCCGCGGUAAUACGUAGGGCGCGAGCGUUGUCCGGAAUUAUUGGGCGUAAAGGGCUUGUAGGUGGCUGGUUGCGUCUGUCGUGAAAGCUCAUGGCUUAACUGUGGGUUUGCGGUGGGUACGGGCUGGCUUGAGUGCAGUAGGGGAGGCUGGAAUUCCUGGUGUAGCGGUGGAAUGCGCAGAUAUCAGGAGGAAUACCGGUGGCGAAGGCGGGUCUCUGGGCUGUUACUGACACUGUGGAGCGAAAGCAUGGGGAGCGAACAGG
Molecule: ribosomal RNA, 419 nt
Filed under: bacterium
Lineage: Bacteria
Description: partial 16S ribosomal RNA
Rfam family: Bacterial small subunit ribosomal RNA
Source: RNAcentral